RNAcentral lists this ribosomal RNA (477 nucleotides) under Oligia apameoides. RNAcentral's name for it is "partial large subunit ribosomal RNA". Lineage: Eukaryota; Metazoa; Arthropoda; Insecta; Lepidoptera; Noctuidae. The record is from RNAcentral.
AUAAAGUCUACUCUGCCACUGAUUUGAUAAUUAAAGGGCUGCAGUAUAUUGACUGUACAAAGGUAGCAUAAUCAUUAGUCAUUUAAUUGAUGACUUGUAUGAAAGAUUGGAUGAAAUAUAAACUGUCUCUUAAUUAUAGAUAGAAUUUAAUUUUUUAAUUAAAAAGUUAAAAUGAAUUAAAAAGACGAGAAGACCCUAUAGAGUUUUAUAAUUAAUUUAAUUAAGAUUAUUUAAUGUUAAAAUUAAAAUUAAAUUAUUUAUUUUGUUGGGGUGACAAAAAAAUAAAUUUAACUUUUUUUAAAUUAAAACAUUUAUAAGUGAUUAAAUGAUCCAAUAUUAUUGAUUAUAAGAAAAAAUUACCUUAGGGAUAACAGCGUAAUUUUUUUUUUUAGUUCAAAUAAGAAAAAGAGUUUGCGACCUCGAUGUUGGAUUAAGAUAAAAUUUAAAUGCAGAAGUUAAAAUUUUGAUCGUCGAUCA